This 505-nucleotide ribosomal RNA is filed under the name uncultured bacterium. RNAcentral describes it as "partial 16S ribosomal RNA". It matches the Rfam family "Bacterial small subunit ribosomal RNA", at positions 28 to 507 of the family's 1533-position model. The record is from RNAcentral.
GACGAACGCUGGCGGCGUGCCUAAUACAUGCAAGUAGAACGCACAGUUUAUACCGUAGCUUGCUCCACCAUAGACUGUGAGUUGCGAACGGGUGAGUAACGCGUAGGUAACCUGCCUGGUAGCGGGUGAUAACUAUUGGAAACGAUAGCUAAUACCGCAUAAUAUUAAUUAUUGCAUGAUAAUUAAUUGAAAGGUGCAAUUGCACCACUACCAGAUGGACCUGCGUUGUAUUAGCUAGUAGGUGAGGUAACGGCUCACCUAGGCGACGAUACAUAGCCGACCUGAGAGGGUGAUCGGCCACACUGGGACUGGGACACGGCCCAGACUCCUACGGGAGGCAGCAGUAGGGAAUCUUCGGCAAUGGACGAAAGUCUGACCGAGCAACGCCGCGUGAGUGAAGAAGGUUUUCGGAUCGUAAAGCUCUGUUGUAAGAGAAGAACGGGUGUGAGAGUGGAAAGUUCACACUGUGACGGUAUCUUACCAGAAAGGGACGGCUAACCACGUG